Molecule: ribosomal RNA, 406 nt
Filed under: uncultured bacterium
Lineage: Bacteria
Description: partial 16S ribosomal RNA
Rfam family: Bacterial small subunit ribosomal RNA
Source: RNAcentral
AUUGAACGCUGGCGGCAGGCCUAACACAUGCAAGUCGAACGAGUAGCGGACGGGUGAGCAAUGUCUGAGAAACUGCCCGAUGGAGCGGGAUAACGACUGUAAACAGUAGCUACUACCGCAUACCAUCGUAUGUGCCAAUAUGGGAUAAGCUAGUCGGUGGGGUAACGGCUAACGUAGGAGACGAUCCCUAGCUGGUCUGAGCGGAUGACACGCCACACUGGAACUGAGACACGGUCCAGACUCCUACGGGAGGCAGCAGUGGGGAAUAUUGCAAAAUGGGCGAAAGCCUGAUGCAGCCAUGCCGCGUGAGUGAAGAAGGCCUUCGGGUUGUAAAGUACUUUCAGCAAGGAGGCGUUACUCGCAUAGGAAGCCCCGGCUAACGCCGUGCCAGCAGCCGCGGUAAUUC